Molecule: transfer RNA, 76 nt
Filed under: Deltaproteobacteria bacterium
Lineage: Bacteria; Pseudomonadati; Myxococcota; Myxococcia
Also listed under: 1 other name
Description: tRNA-Gln
Rfam family: tRNA
About the family: Transfer RNA (tRNA) molecules are approximately 80 nucleotides in length. Their secondary structure includes four short double-helical elements and three loops (D, anti-codon, and T loops).
Source: RNAcentral
UGGGGCGUAGCGUAAUUGGUAGCGCGACGGGUUCUGGCCCCGUAGGUUCCAGGUUCGAGCCCUGGCGCCCCAACCA